Molecule: ribosomal RNA, 254 nt
Filed under: uncultured bacterium
Lineage: Bacteria
Description: partial 16S ribosomal RNA
Rfam family: Bacterial small subunit ribosomal RNA
Source: RNAcentral
UACGAAGGGGGGCGAGCGUUGUUCGGAGUUACUGGGCGUAAAGGGCGCGUAGGCGGUUUUUCAAGUCAGAUGUGAAAGCCCCGGGCUUAACCUGGGAAUGGCAUUUGGGACUGGAAGGCUUGAGAUCGGGAGAGGUGAGUGGAAUUCCCAGUGUAGAGGUGAAAUUCGUAGAUAUUGGGAAGAACACCGGUGGCGAAGGCGGCUCACUGGACCGACACUGACGCUGAGGCGCGAAAGCGUGGGGAGCAAACAGG